CCUACGGGGGGCAGCAGUGAGGAAUAUUGGUCAAUGGCCGGAAGGCUGAACCAGCCAAGCCGCGUGAGGGAGGAAGGCGCAGAGCGUCGCAGACCUCUUUUGCCGGGGGACAAAAGGCCGGACUCGUCCGGUCCUGAGGGUACCCGGAGAAAAAGCCUCGGCUAACUCCGUGACAGCAGACGCGGUCAUACGGAGGGUGCGAGCGUUAAUCGGAAUUACUGGGCGGAAGGCGCUCGUAGGCGGUAUGGCAAGUCCAGGGUGAAAUCCCCGCGCUCAACGUGGGAACUGCCGUUGAAACUGGCAAACUGGAGUGUGUGAGAGGAUAGGGGAAUUCCAGGUGUAGGAGUGAAAUGCGUAGAUAUCUGGAGGAACAUCAGUGGCGAAGGCGACUAUCUGGCACAUAACUGACGCUGAGGAGCGAAAGCGUGGGUAGCAAACAGGAUUAGAUACCCUAGUAGUC
This 460-nucleotide ribosomal RNA is filed under the name uncultured bacterium. Its description in RNAcentral is "partial 16S ribosomal RNA". It matches the Rfam family "Bacterial small subunit ribosomal RNA", at positions 338 to 795 of the family's 1533-position model. The record is from RNAcentral.